Molecule: ribosomal RNA, 1424 nt
Filed under: uncultured bacterium
Lineage: Bacteria
Description: bacterial SSU rRNA
Rfam family: Bacterial small subunit ribosomal RNA
Source: RNAcentral
CUGGCGGCGUGCUUAACACAUGCAAGUCGAACGAUGAAGCCCAGCUUGCUGGGUGGAUUAGUGGCGAACGGGUGAGUAACACGUGAGUAACCUGCCCCCGACUCUGGGAUAAGCCCGGGAAACUGGGUCUAAUACCGGAUAUUACCUCUUGCCGCAUGGCAGGUGGUGGAAAGAUUUAUCGGUUGGGGAUGGACUCGCGGCCUAUCAGCUUGUUGGUGAGGUAAUGGCUCACCAAGGCGACGACGGGUAGCCGGCCUGAGAGGGUGACCGGCCACACUGGGACUGAGACACGGCCCAGACUCCUACGGGAGGCAGCAGUGGGGAAUAUUGCACAAUGGGCGAAAGCCUGAUGCAGCGACGCCGCGUGAGGGAUGACGGCCUUCGGGUUGUAAACCUCUUUCAGUAGGGAAGAAGCGAAAGUGACGGUACCUGCAGAAGAAGCGCCGGCUAACUACGUGCCAGCAGCCGCGGUAAUACGUAGGGCGCAAGCGUUAUCCGGAUUUAUUGGGCGUAAAGAGCUCGUAGGCGGUUUGUCGCGUCUGCCGUGAAAGUCCGAGGCUCAACCUCGGAUCUGCGGUGGGUACGGGCAGACUAGAGUGAUGUAGGGGAGACUGGAAUUCCUGGUGUAGCGGUGAAAUGCGCAGAUAUCAGGAGGAACACCGAUGGCGAAGGCAGGUCUCUGGGCAUUUACUGACGCUGAGGAGCGAAAGCAUGGGGAGCGAACAGGAUUAGAUACCCUGGUAGUCCAUGCCGUAAACGUUGGGCACUAGGUGUGGGGAACAUUCCACGUUUUCCGCGCCGUAGCUAACGCAUUAAGUGCCCCGCCUGGGGAGUACGGCCGCAAGGCUAAAACUCAAAGGAAUUGACGGGGGCCCGCACAAGCGGCGGAGCAUGCGGAUUAAUUCGAUGCAACGCGAAGAACCUUACCAAGGCUUGACAUGUGCCAGACCUCUUCAGAGAUGGAGUUUCCCUUCGGGGCUGGUUCACAGGUGGUGCAUGGUUGUCGUCAGCUCGUGUCGUGAGAUGUUGGGUUAAGUCCCGCAACGAGCGCAACCCUCGUUCCAUGUUGCCAGCACGUAAUGGUGGGGACUCAUGGGAGACUGCCGGGGUCAACUCGGAGGAAGGUGGGGAUGACGUCAAAUCAUCAUGCCCCUUAUGUCUUGGGCUUCACGCAUGCUACAAUGGCCGGUACAAUGGGUUGCGAUACUGUGAGGUGGAGCUAAUCCCUAAAAGCCGGUCUCAGUUCGGAUUGGGGUCUGCAACUCGACCCCAUGAAGUCGGAGUCGCUAGUAAUCGCAGAUCAGCAACGCUGCGGUGAAUACGUUCCCGGGCCUUGUACACACCGCCCGUCAAGUCACGAAAGUUGGUAACACCCGAAGCCGAUGGCCUAACCACCUUGUGUGGGGGGAGUCGUCGAAGGUGGG